This is a non-coding RNA of Caenorhabditis japonica, 84 nucleotides long. The record is from Rfam. NCBI's taxonomy places the organism in Eukaryota, Metazoa, Nematoda, Chromadorea, Rhabditida, Rhabditidae.
GCCGGGGUAGCCAAGUGGCAAAGGCGCGGGUCUUAAGAAUCUGUGGAUGGAUAUCCUUUAGGGGUUCGAUUCCCCUCCCCGGCA